CGUCAUUACACCACUCAAGCCUCGCUUGGUAUUGGGCGACGCGGUACGCCGCGCGCCUCAAAUCUUCCGGCUGGGUCUCGAUCGUCCCUCAGCGUUGUGGAAACUAUUCGCUAAAAGGUGCACGUUUCGGUCACGCCGUUAAAACAAACCAAACAUUAAAGGUUGACCUCGGAUCAGGUAGGGAUACCCGCUGAACUUAA
RNAcentral lists this unclassified non-coding RNA (200 nucleotides) under soil metagenome. RNAcentral describes it as "partial contains internal transcribed spacer 2 and large subunit ribosomal RNA". The record is from RNAcentral.